This 253-nucleotide ribosomal RNA is filed under the name uncultured bacterium. RNAcentral's name for it is "partial 16S ribosomal RNA". It matches the Rfam family "Bacterial small subunit ribosomal RNA", at positions 524 to 776 of the family's 1533-position model. The record is from RNAcentral.
UACGUAUGGUGCAAGCGUUAUCCGGAAUGACUGGGUGUAAAGGGAGCGUAGACGGUUGUACAAGUCUGACGUGAAAGCCCACGGCUCAACUGUGGGAGUGCAUUGGAAACUGUAGAACUAGAGUAUCGGAGAGGCAAGUGGAAUUCCUAGUGUAGCGGUGAGAUGCGUAGAUAUUAGGAGGAACACCAGUGGCGAAGGCGGCUUGCUGGACGAAAACUGACGUUGAGGCUCGAAAGCGUGGGGAGCAAACAGG